RNAcentral lists this ribosomal RNA (1383 nucleotides) under Klebsiella quasipneumoniae. RNAcentral describes it as "partial 23S ribosomal RNA". It matches the Rfam family "Bacterial large subunit ribosomal RNA", at positions 146 to 1574 of the family's 2925-position model. The record is from RNAcentral. Lineage: Bacteria; Pseudomonadati; Pseudomonadota; Gammaproteobacteria; Enterobacterales; Enterobacteriaceae.
CACUAUCGUUAACUGAAUACAUAGGUUAACGAGGCGAACCGGGGGAACUGAAACAUCUAAGUACCCCGAGGAAAAGAAAUCAACCGAGAUUCCCCCAGUAGCGGCGAGCGAACGGGGAGCAGCCCAGAGUCUGAAUCAGCUUGUGUGUUAGUGGAACGGUCUGGAAAGUCCGACGGUACAGGGUGAUAGUCCCGUACACCAAAAUGCACAGGUUGUGAACUCGAAGAGUAGGGCGGGACACGUGGUAUCCUGUCUGAAUAUGGGGGGACCAUCCUCCAAGGCUAAAUACUCCUGACUGACCGAUAGUGAACCAGUACCGUGAGGGAAAGGCGAAAAGAACCCCGGCGAGGGGAGUGAAAAAGAACCUGAAACCGUGUACGUACAAGCAGUGGGAGCACCUUCGGGUGUGACUGCGUACCUUUUGUAUAAUGGGUCAGCGACUUAUAUUCUGUAGCAAGGUUAACCGUAUAGGGGAGCCGCAGGGAAACCGAGUCUUAACUGGGCGUUAAGUUGCAGGGUAUAGACCCGAAACCCGGUGAUCUAGCCAUGGGCAGGUUGAAGGUUGGGUAACACUAACUGGAGGACCGAACCGACUAAUGUUGAAAAAUUAGCGGAUGACUUGUGGCUGGGGGUGAAAGGCCAAUCAAACCGGGAGAUAGCUGGUUCUCCCCGAAAGCUAUUUAGGUAGCGCCUCGUGAACUCAUCUUCGGGGGUAGAGCACUGUUUCGGCUAGGGGGUCAUCCCGACUUACCAACCCGAUGCAAACUACGAAUACCGAAGAAUGUUAUCACGGGAGACACACGGCGGGUGCUAACGUCCGUCGUGAAGAGGGAAACAACCCAGACCGCCAGCUAAGGUCCCAAAGUCAUGGUUAAGUGGGAAACGAUGUGGGAAGGCACAGACAGCCAGGAUGUUGGCUUAGAAGCAGCCAUCAUUUAAAGAAAGCGUAAUAGCUCACUGGUCGAGUCGGCCUGCGCGGAAGAUGUAACGGGGCUAAACCAUGCACCGAAGCUGCGGCAGCGACACGAUGUGUUGUUGGGUAGGGGAGCGUUCUGUAAGCCUGCGAAGGUGACCUGUGAGGGUUGCUGGAGGUAUCAGAAGUGCGAAUGCUGACAUAAGUAACGAUAAAGCGGGUGAAAAGCCCGCUCGCCGGAAGACCAAGGGUUCCUGUCCAACGUUAAUCGGGGCAGGGUGAGUCGACCCCUAAGGCGAGGCCGAAAGGCGUAGUCGAUGGGAAACAGGUUAAUAUUCCUGUACUUGGUGUUACUGCGAAGGGGGGACGGAGAAGGCUAUGUUAGCCGGGCGACGGUUGUCCCGGUUUAAGCAUGUAGGCUGGUUAUCCAGGCAAAUCCGGAUAAUCAAGGCUGAGGUGUGAUGACGAGG